Molecule: ribosomal RNA, 253 nt
Filed under: uncultured bacterium
Lineage: Bacteria
Description: partial 16S ribosomal RNA
Rfam family: Bacterial small subunit ribosomal RNA
Source: RNAcentral
UACGAAGGGGGCUAGCGUUGCUCGGAAUUACUGGGCGUAAAGAGCGUGUAGGCGGCCAGGUAGGUCUGCUGUGAAAACUCGAGGCUCAACCUCGAGACGUCGGCGGAAACCAUCUGGCUAGAGUCCGGAAGAGGAGAGUGGAAUUCCUGGUGUAGCGGUGAAAUGCGCAGAUAUCAGGAAGAACACCCGUGGCGAAGGCGGCUCUCUGGGACGGUACUGACGCUGAGACGCGAAAGCGUGGGGAGCGAACAGG